GUGACCCUCGGUGUGUCGUGGGAACACAUUGCACAGAGAACUCCACCACACUCAAACGCUGACAGUGCCUUGCCAGCCCUGGUGGACUUGAAGUUUCGAUGAGCUUUAAGUUCGUGGAGCAGCUUAGCUCUGGGAUUGUGGUAAGAGUGGGAUCUAGAGAGAUGGGAGUUCCUCCUGCAAAUGUGCUCUUGAGCCUAUUUUGAGGUCACUAACCAUGCUCAGCCACAGUGGCCUCUGCAGGUUGAGGAGGGAUUCGCUGUCCUUCCAGAAGCUUCUCUCUAGUUUCAAAUGUCAUACCCAGAUGAAGAAAGGAAUGCUUCCUUUGAAAUUGAUGCCAUCCUCAGAGCCACCACACUGAGUGCGGGCCUCUUGCACCCCCAUGCAGAGUCCUGCUUUGCUCUUCCUGUAUUCCCUGCUGCAAGACCUCAGGGAAUGCCCAUGGACUGGGCACUUCCUGAGCAGGUUUUCACUAAAAGAAACACUCAGCAAAACAAAGAAAGUUCGUAGAGUACCGUCCAGGCCUAGCUAAUGUUUCAUAAGGACAAUAGAAGGCAUCAUUUGUUUUCAGAGCAUAAUUUUAUUAUAUCUUAAUGCAAGAAAAGGUGCCAGACUUACUGACCUCCAGCUUUUCACAUCCUGGGAGGAGAUUGCUCUCAAAGGUACACUCAUCUUAACCAAACUCAAGACAGCGAUGUCUAGGACAAGAAAGCUGACAUGCUGAUCUGUGCUCAAACCAGAGUUGAGCUGGCUCCAAGAGCGUCUGGUCUCCAGGAUCUGCACGGCCUUUGGAAACCAAAGCUCAAUCCCAGGGGCUCAGGGCCAGAGAAUCAAGCAAACAUGCUGGUUACAGAAACUGAAAUUAUUCACUCAUUCGACAAAUAUUAGUCAGCACCUACUCUGGUCUAGCGACUGUUUUCAGAGCUGUGACCAAGACAGACAACGUCUUUGUCGAGCAUGGAGAUUAUGUUCUAGUUAGUCGUAGAUUCUGGGAUUGAACCCCUAGACAAGUGAAGAAGGCAACGUCAAAUAGUAACUGUCAGAAAGGAAACAUAACAGGGGCAUGUGUUGCAGGAGCUGGGAAAGGCUGAGACUCGGAUGACACGAAGGCCCGUCCAUGUGCAGGCCAGGAAGGGUGCUCCAUGCAGAAGCACAGCAGGUGCAAAGGCCCUGAACUGGGGAUGAGGGUGGCUCGAGGAUGCGAUCAAGUUCAACUCACAAAGGGGAAGCCGAUUGUGAAGUUCAGAGGAGAUCCUUCUAGCUUCCAAGGCUGGACCACGGUCUGAGACAGAGGCGAGAAUCAGCAGACGGAACAGGUCAAUAAAGCAAUGCACUGGAAUGUUCAGGA
This is a long non-coding RNA of Homo sapiens (human), 1345 nucleotides long. RefSeq lists it as uncharacterized. The transcript is spliced from 2 exons. Lineage: Eukaryota; Metazoa; Chordata; Mammalia; Primates; Hominidae. The record is from RefSeq and is a predicted model, not a curated record.